UUGCUCCUCUGACGUUAGCGGCGGACGGGUGAGUAACACGUGGAUAACCUACCUAUAAGACUGGGAUAACUUCGGGAAACCGGAGCUAAUACCGGAUAAUAUAUUGAACCGCAUGGUUCAAUAGUGAAAGACGGUUUUGCUGUCACUUAUAGAUGGAUCCGCGCCGCAUUAGCUAGUUGGUAAGGUAACGGCUUACCAAGGCAACGAUGCGUAGCCGACCUGAGAGGGUGAUCGGCCACACUGGAACUGAGACACGGUCCAGACUCCUACGGGAGGCAGCAGUAGGGAAUCUUCCGCAAUGGGCGAAAGCCUGACGGAGCAACGCCGCGUGAGUGAUGAAGGUCUUCGGAUCGUAAAACUCUGUUAUUAGGGAAGAACAAAUGUGUAAGUAACUAUGCACGUCUUGACGGUACCUAAUCAGAAAGCCACGGCUAACUACGUGCCAGCAGCCGCGGUAAUACGUAGGUGGCAAGCGUUAUCCGGAAUUAUUGGGCGUAAAGCGCGCGUAGGCGGUUUUUUAAGUCUGAUGUGAAAGCCCACGGCUCAACCGUGGAGGGUCAUUGGAAACUGGAAAACUUGAGUGCAGAAGAGGAAAGUGGAAUUCCAUGUGUAGCGGUGAAAUGCGCAGAGAUAUGGAGGAACACCAGUGGCGAAGGCGACUUUCUGGUCUGUAACUGACGCUGAUGUGCGUAAGCGUGG
Molecule: ribosomal RNA, 699 nt
Filed under: uncultured Staphylococcus sp.
Lineage: Bacteria; Bacillati; Bacillota; Bacilli; Caryophanales; Staphylococcaceae
Description: bacterial SSU rRNA
Rfam family: Bacterial small subunit ribosomal RNA
Source: RNAcentral